CUUUUUUUCUGAAUAUUGGAUUUUUACUAAUAAAGCAUUGGAACAUGUAGGCAGUUUACUAACUAGCCGCUACCUUGUCAGUCUGUCUGGAAUAGUUUGGUUUUUUUAAUCCUUCUUCCCUUGAGCUGCUUAUGUUAUAGCUUCUAUAUUAGGUAAAGACAUAUAUAAUUCAAAAGACAUCAUUAGAAAACUGAAUAUAAACACUUUUG
Molecule: long non-coding RNA, 209 nt
Filed under: Gallus gallus (chicken)
Lineage: Eukaryota; Metazoa; Chordata; Aves; Galliformes; Phasianidae
Source: RNAcentral